RNAcentral lists this ribosomal RNA (700 nucleotides) under uncultured bacterium. Its description in RNAcentral is "bacterial SSU rRNA". It matches the Rfam family "Bacterial small subunit ribosomal RNA", at positions 44 to 737 of the family's 1533-position model. The record is from RNAcentral.
GGGAAACUUUCAUGCAGUCGAGGGGCAGCGGGGAGGUACAAUACUUCCGCCGGCGACCGGCGCACGGGUGAGUACCCUUAUGGAACCUGCCCGUAGCAGGGGGAUAAGCGGAAGACCUUCCGUCUAAUACCGCGUAAUAAUUCCGAGAGGCAUCUCAUGGAGUUUAAAGGGUAACACCGGCUACGGAUGGCCAUGCGGCGCAUUAGCUAGUUGGCGGGGUAACGGCCCACCAAGGCGACGAUGCGUAGGGGUUCUGAGAGGAAGGUCCCCCACACUGGUACUGAGACACGGACCAGACUCCUACGGGAGGCAGCAGUGAGGAAUAUUGGUCAAUGGGCGCGAGCCUGAACCAGCCAAGUCGCGUGAGGGAAGACGGUCCUAUGGAUUGUAAACCUCUUUUGUCGGGGAGCAAAAGACGCCACGCGUGGCGUUCCGAGAGUACCCGAAGAAGAAGCAUCGGCUAACUCCGUGCCAGCAGCCGCGGUAAUACGGAGGAUGCGAGCGUUAUCCGGAUUUAUUGGGUUUAAAGGGUGCGCAGGCGGAAGAUCAAGUCAGCGGUAAAAUUGAGAGGCUCAACCUCUUCGAGCCGUUGAAACUGGUUUUCUUGAGUGAGCGAGAAGUAUGCGGAAUGCGUGGUGUAGCGGUGAAAUGCAUAGAUAUCACGCAAAACUCCGAUUGCGAAGGCAGCAUACCGGCGCUC